RNAcentral lists this long non-coding RNA (646 nucleotides) under Volvox carteri. RNAcentral's name for it is "long non-coding RNA (VCAR_LNC000956)". The record is from RNAcentral. Lineage: Eukaryota; Viridiplantae; Chlorophyta; Chlorophyceae; Chlamydomonadales; Volvocaceae.
GGAGAGCCCGGACCCGGAGGCUUCCCCCCCCGGGGCGGGGGGGAUGAGCAGGGCGGCCAACAGCGCGGCCAGCUGACACAGCGGCGGCAUGAGACUGUGACGGCGGAGUGGUGGGGUGGGUGGGUGGCAGGCGUGUAAGUGCGUAUGUAUGUUGUUACAGGGUGGUUAACUUCGCCAGCGGCCCCCUUUCCCGGGGCAGUCCCUGCUCUCCCCUGCUAGAGGGGCACCCUAAUCCGUCACCCCAUCCGACUUCAGAAUGUAUUCGUUGGGUUCGGCAACUCACCACCAGCAUUCAACCAAAUCUAGCGGAUCAACGGCGCAUCAACUUAGUUCCUGGUCAGCUCGCAAGUUGAUAUUAUCACGUCCUACACCGUCCAUAAGAUGGGGGGCCACCUCCCAUUUCAUCACUCCUCAAUCACCCGAGGAGCUGGCAGGCGGAUUUGAACCCGGGUCGACUGGAUCGACUGGGAGCAGAAGUCAGGCCUUAACUUCUGCCAGCCGCCUGCGUAUGUAUGUCUGCGCGUGCGUAUGUAUGUAUGUAUGUAUGUAUGUAUGAAUGUGUGUCUCACUAGUGGGCAAACCCCUGGAAAGGCGAGCUGGGGGGCACAUCUGCAUGUUUGGAUGGGUGUGGGUGUGGGGGUGUGAG